Molecule: ribosomal RNA, 254 nt
Filed under: uncultured bacterium
Lineage: Bacteria
Description: partial 16S ribosomal RNA
Rfam family: Bacterial small subunit ribosomal RNA
Source: RNAcentral
UACGUAGGGUGCAAGCGUUGUCCGGAAUUAUUGGGCGUAAAGAGCUCGUAGGCGGUUUGUUGCGUCGGCUGUGAAAUCCCGAGGCUCAACCUCGGGUCUGCAGUCGAUACGAGCAAACUAGAGUGUUGCAGGGGAGACUGGAAUUCCUGGUGUAGCGGUGAAAUGCGCAGAUAUCAGGAGGAACACCGGUGGCGAAGGCGGCCCGCUGGGAUACUUGCUGACGCUGAGGCGCGACAGCGUGGGGAGCAAACAGG